UACAGAGGGUGCGAGCGUUGUCCGGAAUCACUGGGCGUAAAGGGCGCGUAGGCGGUCUUGUAAGCGUGUGGUGAAAGCCCGGGGCUCAACUCCGGGUCGGCCGUGCGAACUGGGGGACUGGAGCUUGUCAGAGGCAGGCGGAAUUCCGGGUGUAGCGGUGGAAUGCGUAGAGAUCCGGAAGAACACCGGUGGCGAAGGCGGCCUGCUGGGACAGUGCUGACGCUGAGGCGCGACAGCGUGGGGAGCAAACAGG
RNAcentral lists this ribosomal RNA (253 nucleotides) under uncultured bacterium. RNAcentral's name for it is "partial 16S ribosomal RNA". It matches the Rfam family "Bacterial small subunit ribosomal RNA", at positions 524 to 776 of the family's 1533-position model. The record is from RNAcentral.